CCUGCUCGUGUGAACGCCACACAGCGGGCCGGUAUGUGGCCUGUGGCGCGACCGUGCGGCGGUCGUCGCCCGAGGGCUGAACCACCAA
RNAcentral lists this non-coding RNA (88 nucleotides) under Halococcus sediminicola. RNAcentral describes it as "eL15-Euryarchaeota ribosomal protein leader". It matches the Rfam family "eL15-Euryarchaeota ribosomal protein leader". Lineage: Archaea; Methanobacteriati; Methanobacteriota; Halobacteria; Halobacteriales; Halococcaceae. The record is from RNAcentral.